GGAAAAGUUUUUCGACGAAAGGGGUAAAAAAAAUGGUUUUUAUCUGCUAUAGGAUAGGAUCGUGUUCGAUUAUGGUUGUUGGUGAGGUAAUGGCUCACCAAGCCGAUAAUCGAUAGGGGCCGUGAGAGCGGGAGCCCCGAGAUGGGUACUGAGACAACGACCCAGGCCUUACGAGGCGCAGCAGGCGCGAAACCUCCGCAAUACACGAAAGUGUGACGGGGUUACCCAAAGUGUUCAAUAGAACUGUGGUAGGUGAGUAAUGUUCCUACUAGAAAGGAGAGGGCAAGGCUGGUGCCAGCCGCCGCGGUAAAACCAGCUCUUCAAGUGGUCGGGAUAAUUAUUGGGCUUAAAGUGUCCGUAGCCGGUUUAGUAAGUUCCUGGUAAAAUCGGGUAGCUUAACUAUCUAUAUGCUAGGAAUACUACUAUACUAGAGGGCGGGAGAGGUCUGAGGUACUGCAGGGGUAGGGGUGAAAUCUUAUAAUCCUUGUUGGACCACCAGUGGCGAAGGCGUCAGACUGGAACGCGCCUGACGGUGAGGGACGAAAGCCAGGGGAGCGAACCGGAUUAGAUACCCGGGUAGUCCUGGCCGUAAACGAUGCAUACUAGGUGAUGGCACGGCCAUGAGCCGUGUCAGUGCCGUAGGGAAACCGUUAAGUGGUGCGCCUGGGAAGUACGGUCGCAAGGCUAAAACUUAAAGGAAUUGGCGGGGGAGCACCACAAGGGGUGAAGCCUGCGGUUC
RNAcentral lists this ribosomal RNA (739 nucleotides) under uncultured archaeon. Its description in RNAcentral is "bacterial SSU rRNA". It matches the Rfam family "Archaeal small subunit ribosomal RNA", at positions 172 to 903 of the family's 1478-position model. The record is from RNAcentral.